Molecule: ribosomal RNA, 793 nt
Filed under: uncultured bacterium
Lineage: Bacteria
Description: bacterial SSU rRNA
Rfam family: Bacterial small subunit ribosomal RNA
Source: RNAcentral
UNUGACUUGAGUGCAGAAGGGGAGAGUGGANUUCCAUGUGUAGCGGUGAAAUGCGUAGAUAUAUGGAGGAACACCAGUGGCGAAAGCGGCUCUCUGGUCUGUCACUGACGCUGAGGCUCGAAAGCGUGGGUAGCGAACAGGAUUAGAUACCCUGGUAGUNCACGCCGUAAACGAUGAGUGCUAGGUGUUAGGCCCUUUCCGGGGCUUAGUGCCGGAGCUAACGCAAUAAGCACUCCGCCUGGGGAGUGCGACCGCAAGGUUGAAACUCAAAGGAAUUGACGGGGGCCCGCACAAGCGGUGGAGCAUGUGGUUUAAUUCGAAGCAACGCGAAGAACCUUACCAGGUCUUGACAUCCCGAUGCUAUUCUUAGAGAUAGGAAGUUACUUCGGUACAUCGGAGACAGGUGGUGCAUGGUUGUCGUCAGCUCGUGUCGUGAGAUGUUGGGUUAAGUCCCGCAACGAGCGCAACCCUUAUUGUUAGUUGCCAUCAUUAAGUUGGGCACUCUAGCGAGACUGCCGGUAAUAAACCGGAGGAAGGUGGGGAUGACGUCAAAUCAUCAUGCCCCUUAUGACCUGGGCUACACACGUGCUACAAUGGUCGGUACAACGAGUUGCGAGCCGGUGACGGCAAGCUAAUCUCUGAAAGCCGAUCUCAGUUCGGAUUGGAGGCUGCAACUCGCCUCCAUGAAGUCGGAAUCGCUAGUAAUCGCGGAUCAGCACGCCGCGGUGAAUACGUUCCCGGGCCUUGUACACACCGCCCGUCACACCACGAGAGUUUGUAACACCCGAAGUCG